AAGCAGCCAUCAUUUAAAGAAAGCGUAAUAGCUCACUGGUCGAGUCGGCCUGCGCGGAAGAUGUAACGGGGCUAAACCAUGCACCGAAGCUGCGGCAGCGAACGUAUCACUUAAAGCGAUUCAGCGGGUUACGAUUGACGGAGCGAAGCGACGUCAAAGCGUAUACAAAGUCGAGUCGGUUUAAGGAUACGUUCGUUGGGUAGGGGAGCGUUCUGUAAGCCUGCGAAGGUGUCCCGUGAGGGUUGCUGGAGGUAU
Molecule: ribosomal RNA, 255 nt
Filed under: Salmonella enterica subsp. enterica serovar Kentucky
Lineage: Bacteria; Pseudomonadati; Pseudomonadota; Gammaproteobacteria; Enterobacterales; Enterobacteriaceae
Description: partial 23S ribosomal RNA
Rfam family: Bacterial large subunit ribosomal RNA
Source: RNAcentral